GACGAACGCUGGCGGCGUGCUUAACACAUGCGAGUCGAACGGAAAGGCCCUGCUUUUGUGGGGUGCUCGAGUGGCGAACGGGUGAGUAACACGUGAGUAACCUGCCCUUGACUUUGGGAUAACUUCAGGAAACUGGGGCUAAUACCGGAUAGGAGCUCCUGCUGCAUGGUGGGGGUUGGAAAGUUUCGGCGGUUGGGGAUGGACUCGCGGCUUAUCAGCUUGUUGGUGGGGUAGUGGCUUACCAAGGCUUUGACGGGUAGCCGGCCCGAGAGGGUGACCGGCCACAUUGGGACUGAGAUACGGCCCAGACUCCUACGGGAGGCAGCAGUGGGGAAUAUUGCACAAUGGGCGGAAGCCUGAUGCAGCAACGCCGCGUGCGGGAUGACGGCCUUCGGGUUGUAAACCGCUUUCGCCUGUGACGAAGCGUGAGUGACGGUAAUGGGUAAAGAAGCACCGGCUAACUACGUG
RNAcentral lists this ribosomal RNA (468 nucleotides) under uncultured bacterium. RNAcentral's name for it is "partial 16S ribosomal RNA". It matches the Rfam family "Bacterial small subunit ribosomal RNA", at positions 28 to 507 of the family's 1533-position model. The record is from RNAcentral.